CACCGCCGCGGUAACACGUAGGGUGCAAGCGUUAAUCGGAAUUACUGGGCGUAAAGCGUGCGCAGGCGGUUUGUUAAGACAGAUGUGAAAUCCCCGGGCUCAACCUGGGAACUGCAUUUGUGACUGGCAAGCUAGAGUAUGGCAGAGGGGGGUGGAAUUCCGCGUGUAGCAGUGAAAUGCGUAGAUAUGCGGAGGAACACCGAUGGCGAAGGCAGCCCCCUGGGCCAAUACUGACGCUCAUGCAUGAAAGCGUGGGGAGCAAACGGGAUUAGAUACCCCUGUAGUCCCUGUCUCUUAUACA
RNAcentral lists this ribosomal RNA (301 nucleotides) under uncultured bacterium. RNAcentral's name for it is "partial 16S ribosomal RNA". It matches the Rfam family "Bacterial small subunit ribosomal RNA", at positions 510 to 808 of the family's 1533-position model. The record is from RNAcentral.